This 449-nucleotide ribosomal RNA is filed under the name uncultured bacterium. RNAcentral describes it as "partial 16S ribosomal RNA". It matches the Rfam family "Bacterial small subunit ribosomal RNA", at positions 29 to 523 of the family's 1533-position model. The record is from RNAcentral.
AACGAACGCUGGCGGCAGGCUUAACACAUGCAAGUCGAGCGCAUCCUUCGGGGUGAGCGGCAGACGGGUGAGUAACGCGUGGGAACGUACCCUUUCCUACGGAAUAGCUCCGGGAAACUGGAAUUAAUACCGUAUACGCCCUUAGGGGGAAAGAUUUAUCGGGGAAGGAUCGGCCCGCGUUGGAUUAGAUAGUUGGUGGGGUAAAGGCCUACCAAGGCGACGAUCCAUAGCUGGUCUGAGAGGAUGAUCAGCCACAUUGGGACUGAGACACGGCCCAAACUCCUACGGGAGGCAGCAGUGGGGAAUAUUGGACAAUGGGCGCAAGCCCGAUCCAGCCAUGCCGCGUGAGUGAUGAAGGCCUUAGGGUUGUAAAGCUCUUUCAGUAGGGAAGAUAAUGACGGUACCUACAGAAGAAGCCCCGGCUAACUUCGUGCCAGCAGCCGCCGUAA